Molecule: small nuclear RNA, 161 nt
Organism: Hevea brasiliensis (rubber tree)
Lineage: Eukaryota; Viridiplantae; Streptophyta; Magnoliopsida; Malpighiales; Euphorbiaceae
Product: U1 spliceosomal RNA
Exons: 1
Source: RefSeq, a predicted model, not a curated record
AUACUUUACCUGGACGGGGUCAAUGGGUGAUCAAGGAGGCCCAUGGCCUGGGUAGGUGGCUUCCAUUGCACUUGGGAGGCGCAUCUGCCUAAGGUCUCCCCAAGUGGGAGAGUCUAUGUCAUAAUUUGUUGUAGUGGGGGCCUGCGUUCUCGUGGCCCCUG